AUUGAACGCUGGCGGCAGGCCUAACACAUGCAAGUCGAACGAGUGGCGGACGGGUGCGUAAUGUCUGGGAAACUGCCUGAUGGAGGGGGAUAACUACUGGAAACGGUAGCUCAUACCGCAUACCAUCGGAUGUGCCCAGAUGGGAUUAGCUAGUAGCUGGGGUAAAGGCUCACCUAGGCGACGAUCCCUAGCUGGUGUGAGAGGAUGACCAGACACGCUGAAACUGAGAUCCGGUCCAGACUCCUACGGGGGUCAGCAGUGGGGAAUAUUGCAAAAUGGGCGCAAGCGUGAUUCAGCCAUGCCGCGUGUAUGAAGAAGGCCUUCGGUUUGUAAAGUACUUUCAGCGGGGAGGCGUUACCCGCAGUAGAAGCUACGGGUGACUCCGUGCCAGCCGCCGCGGUAAUAC
RNAcentral lists this ribosomal RNA (406 nucleotides) under uncultured bacterium. RNAcentral's name for it is "partial 16S ribosomal RNA". It matches the Rfam family "Bacterial small subunit ribosomal RNA", at positions 30 to 526 of the family's 1533-position model. The record is from RNAcentral.